AUAAUGUAGUCAGAUUGAAGCCACUGUUGUAACAUUUUUAUCGUGAUGCGAUUGUGCACACAGCUCGCAUGAGUCAAAGCCGGUCUACGGAUAUAUUAGAAGUUCUUUGCAUGAGUUCAGCUCGUGACAUCGGAUCAUGUUUGGCUUCCUCCCAUUGGCUGCAGCUUAAUUGAGGCGCCUCGGUGUCUAGAGGUCGCUUCACUUCUUGGACUGACGACGGAGGAAUAACCUAGCUAGCCACCUCGCAGAUAUUACCGUUUGGUUUAAUAUUUUCGGGAAAGUUCAUGUUUCAAGGUACAAAUUAUCGGGAUUAUAAGCGAUUGUGGUGAAGUAACAGGACCCGCAGAACACUUUUAUCAGUAACAGACCUCGGAAAUCGAGUUUUGCCGAGGACAAUGGAGGAAAACGAAGCAAAAAAAGGUUUCAAUUCAGCGAAGUUUUUGUGGCCACUUGUCCACCAUGCAUUUGUCGUCAGAGAUGAUGACUUCAUAUACGAGAUGAAGAGAAGAAGAAGAGAUGAAAGGACAGCCAUCUUACCUUGAACGGCAUCUGGAUUCACGAGAUCAGGAUGGUGGCAAACUUACCCUCUGGUUCGUCAUCACUUUCACUCAUGGAGCCGUAGUUUGCCACCAGGGAUCCCAGAGCUGAGCUCAUCUGUUUAGGCGCCACAACCAGG
This is a long non-coding RNA of Perca fluviatilis (European perch), 676 nucleotides long. RefSeq lists it as uncharacterized. The transcript is spliced from 3 exons. The record is from RefSeq and is a predicted model, not a curated record. Lineage: Eukaryota; Metazoa; Chordata; Actinopteri; Perciformes; Percidae.